Paramuricea clavata is the source of this 202-nucleotide non-coding RNA. NCBI's taxonomy places the organism in Eukaryota, Metazoa, Cnidaria, Anthozoa, Malacalcyonacea, Plexauridae. The record is from the annotation of a GenBank genome assembly.
UCUAUCUAUCUAUCUAUCUAUCUAUCUAUCUAUCUAUCUAUCUAUCUCUCUAUCUAUCUCUCUAUCUAUCUCUCUAUCUCUCUAUCUAUCUCUAUCUCUCUCUAUCUCUCUCUAUCUCUCUCUCUAUCUCUCUCUCUAUCUCUCUCUCUAUCUCUUUCUAUCUCUCUCUCUAUCUCUAUCUCUCCAUCCAUCCAUCCAUCCA